GCUGUGACGGCUUCCUGGAACAGCUUACAUUUUACUGGAGCA
RNAcentral lists this small RNA (42 nucleotides) under unclassified sequences. RNAcentral's name for it is "SAM-SAH-Weickhmann-2018 RNA". The record is from RNAcentral.